CCUCUCUUCUCUGGCUCUCUUUCGAUCCACCGCCGCCCCUUCCCCAUCUCUCUCUCUUCUUUGGCUCUAUCCCGAUCACAAUAGCCUUCCCUUUCCGGCUAUCCCCUCUCCUCUCCAGCUAUCUUUGCCACCGUAACCCUUCCUCUUCUUCGAUUUUCUGCUAGCCAUCUCUCCGCUUCUCUAUCGGUGCAUCGGCUUUCCCAAAGAUGAGGAUGCUCGAGCAAAUCCUCCUUUCUUCUUCGCCUCAAGCCAGG
Molecule: long non-coding RNA, 254 nt
Filed under: Elaeis guineensis (African oil palm)
Lineage: Eukaryota; Viridiplantae; Streptophyta; Magnoliopsida; Arecales; Arecaceae
Description: long non-coding RNA (EGUI_LNC025402)
Source: RNAcentral